GUCUAUGGCCAUACCACCCUGAACGCUCUUGAUCUCGUCUCAUCUCGGAAGCUAAGCAGGCUCAGGCCUGGUUAAUACUUGGAUGGGAGACCUAUUUCCAAUUAACGCCAAGAGU
Ribosomal RNA from Ochotona princeps (American pika), 115 nucleotides. The record is from Ensembl. Lineage: Eukaryota; Metazoa; Chordata; Mammalia; Lagomorpha; Ochotonidae.